RNAcentral lists this small RNA (80 nucleotides) under bovine gut metagenome. RNAcentral's name for it is "GA-cis RNA". It matches the Rfam family "GA-cis RNA". The record is from RNAcentral.
UGAGGAGGAACCAUGAUGCGAAGCAUCAUUUGGAAUGGUUCCGACGACUGGCCGCCGAACGGGGUGAGGGGGCAUUUCAU